UCUUCUCUCUUCCCAUCAUUGUCGAUAAGUUAAUAUUAUUAAAUCAUCAAUUGCAUCGUUCUUUUGCUGGGAGAUUGAACACUGAAAAUGAAGAAAUAUUCAGGAAUUCUAUGAUAAAUGUAUCAUAAUUGUAUUUAAAUUGUAUAAGAUACAUCAAUAUAUAAAAAGUAAUUGUAUCAUACUUGUAUCACAAUUGUAUAUAACUUGUAGAUGGUACAUUAAUAUCUAAAAUAAUACCCGAUACAAUACUAAUAAAUUAAUAUAUAUAUUAUCAUAUAUUUGUGAUAUAAACUGUGAAAUUCGUCACGAUCUCACGAUUGCUCAUAAUUCAAAUGCAAACUUGAUACAAUCCUGAAAGAAUUCUAACAUAAUUCUGAUACAAUUAUGAUACAAUUUAAAACCGACUCUAAAUUUAAACUGAUACAAUAUGGUAUUAUACUUGUAUUAAUAUUGUAUCAUGUGUUGUUUUAGGUACAAAAUCAUAAUACAAUUCUAAAUUACGAUACAACUUUGAUCUUCAUCUUUUUCAAGCUUCAAUUUCAAACAUCCACUUAGAAUCAACUCUAAACUUAAAUUAUAAUACAAUAUUGUAUUUGUCACACCUCAGCGAAAAGGGGCGUAAAGGAGUAUUUCCACUUAAAGGACAAUCGGAACGGGAUUUGAUUAUUAUUUAUUCAGAGUCGCCACUUGGGAGAUUUAUGGUGUCCCAAGUCACCGAUUUGAAUCCCGAACCGAGGAAGAUUAUGACUCUGUUACUUAUUCAGAGUCGCUACUUGGGAGAUAUAUGGUGUCCCAAGUCACCGAUUUGAAUCCCGAACCGAGAAAGAUUAUGAAUCUGUUACAGUCUGCGAACCACAAAUCUAAGUAAGGAACUUUGUUAACCCGGGAGAAUGUGUUAGGCAUUCCCGGAUUCCGUGGUUCUAGUACGGUCGCUUAAUUGUUAUAUUUGAUUUUAUCUCAUUUUUAGUACAUGCUAACUUAUGUUCUCUUUUAUUUAUAUACUGCUUUUACCAUUAUUUAUUUUAAAAUACUUGCGACAUCGUGAAAACGUAUUUCUAAUCACGUCACUACCAGUGUGCACGUGAUCGUCGACACGUUUUGACUUCGUCGAGAUUUGGAUUUGGGUUGCAUCAAUGCACACCCGAAUUUAGGAAGGUACUUUAAUUAAAACGCGUCUAAAGAUUCUAUCGCAUUAUUAUCUUUUGGGAGGAUCGUGAAAUUCGCUAAACGGCCCUUCCCGAUUCUCUAAGUAUUUUUAAAACUUUAUUGAGGGCCCUGUAUUGUAUUUUUGUUGGCGAAGCUCGUCUCAUUUUAUUUUAAAAGCAAACCUAAAAGCAAUUAUAAUUUUUUACUUUUAUUUGUCUUUAAUAAUAAAGAAAAGAAGCCCUAACUAAUUAUUUUGUUUAAGAAUUACUACGUCUAGGUCCACAACUCAAACAGCCCGCGUGAGGAUCAUAGCCUAUCGGAAGAAGAAUGAAGUACCUAAUCUAAAUUUCAUAUUCAUCCCUAUGACCUAUUCAGACAAGUAACAAUUUUAACAAAAUAAAGGUUAACUAAAAAAAGUGAAAAUCGAUUUUCGAACCAGUACAUUAAAAUAUUCACACAUCAAUGAAAAAUGAGAUCUGAAAUUACAAAUGGACAAAGUUGGAAUAUAACUUUAAAUAAAGCAAGGAAAUCUGAAACAUAGGACCACAAUUAAACUACUGGAAUAAGAAAAAAACGGCACCAACUCUCAUUUUAAUAUAGAAAACCAAAAGCAACUUUUUAGCAAUUUUAAAAUCAAUUCAAUGAAUUCCAUGGAUUAAUGAAGCACAUAUUUGAAAGCUUAAAGGAACAGAGGUUAUAAACAUCACCUCAGCAAAACUGGAAGCAAACAAAUACCCGAGGACAAGAAGAUCAACACGAAAUAACAGUAAUCAAAAAGAAGAACGGACCACACCCCUUGAAAAUAUUCAAUAAAAUCAGAAUGACGACGAAUGAGAACCUCGAACGGAAAAUGAAGCGCUUCGUCGGAGUCUCAACGAAACUCGACCAAACUGCUUUGAACUCGGCUAUAACGGACGCCUUAACUCAGAAGUUACGAAGCAGAGAAGCAGAAAUUGAAACGGCGAUGCUGCUGGUAUUUUCAGCUGUUGAGAAUUGAAAAUUUUGUUUUAUUAUUUUUAGCUGUUUGUUUGAGUUCUCAAUCCCUUCUGAGUGCUGUUCAAUUUCCGAUUUAUAUUUCCAUGCGUGUGUGCUUUGAUUAUGGAGAGUAAGAUGAGAGUGAGCAAGGGAGGAGAAAGGAAUGACGAUGCCUUCAGAGGUGCUCGUUUUUUUUUUGGUUUUUUUAGAGAAAAAUUUCAGAAGCAAAAGAGAGAUCCCUUUUUUGGCGUUAUUUUUUGUGUUUGCUUCCGUCCAUUCUUUUUUUGUAAUUUUUUGGGUCGUUUUUCUUUUGUAAUUUUUCGUGUCCUCUCUUUAAUUUGUGAGGCAAAUGGUUUUUAUAGAGAGUGUGGGAUGGGGUGUUAUGUGAGAGAGUUUUAUUUGAGGAUGAGGUGUUAUGUGAGGAAUGUUUUCGAGGGGAAGGUUUUAGGUAGAGGAAUAUUUUGGGGAAAGAUCUUAGGUGGGUAGAAAUGAUGAUUUUAUAUAAGUAAAAAGAUAGACAUAAUUUUUCGUGAAAAAAG
RNAcentral lists this long non-coding RNA (2660 nucleotides) under Nicotiana benthamiana. RNAcentral's name for it is "long non-coding RNA (NBEN_LNC041021)". Lineage: Eukaryota; Viridiplantae; Streptophyta; Magnoliopsida; Solanales; Solanaceae. The record is from RNAcentral.